AUUUCAGUAGUUUAACUAAAAACACUGGUCUUGUAAACCAGAAACGAGGAACACCACCCUCCUGAAAUA
Molecule: transfer RNA, 69 nt
Filed under: Emydura macquarii (Murray river turtle)
Lineage: Eukaryota; Metazoa; Chordata; Testudines; Chelidae
Description: tRNA-Thr
Rfam family: tRNA
About the family: Transfer RNA (tRNA) molecules are approximately 80 nucleotides in length. Their secondary structure includes four short double-helical elements and three loops (D, anti-codon, and T loops).
Source: RNAcentral